Gopherus evgoodei (Goodes thornscrub tortoise) is the source of this 748-nucleotide long non-coding RNA. RefSeq lists it as uncharacterized. The record is from RefSeq and is a predicted model, not a curated record. The transcript is spliced from 4 exons. NCBI's taxonomy places the organism in Eukaryota, Metazoa, Chordata, Testudines, Testudinidae.
AUCCAUGCUAUCUCCUAAAGCAGUCAUUCUGAAAUCCAAUCUGGGGACAGUGCAGACUAAAUAAAAUUUCAUUUUGAUUUGGCCUCCCGCUGAGAAUGGGACUGCUUUGUUUCAGCCGACAGAACCAGCAAGCCAGAAAGGUGUUGAAUACACACACACUGACUUAACGGAAAAUUAUUGGUGGAGAUGAUGACGGGGAUAUGCACCCAGAGAUUCCUGCGUGGAACUGGCUUGAGAGGCAAAGAAUGUGGAGACAAAGUCUACAGUACCUGUUGUUGUUACUGCUUCCACAUCAGUGUCGAAACUCCAUGGGAACAUGGUUCCAGGCUUAGCUAUGGUCAAGGGAAUCUUAGGCAGUACUUGUUCUGCAGGAGCCCAUACUACCCAAGCAUAAUGGAGAGAGAGCUGGCAAUGUAGUGGAAAUCCUGAAAAUUCCUUGUCCCUGGCAGAUCCCAAGGGUCAUCGUGGUAAGGGAAAUAUUUUUUAUCUGGGCCUCAGGAAAUAGUGGUCUGGCUAAUGAUCAUAGCAGUGCCGAGGGUUCUGUGAACAGUAUUUGCACAUUGGCAGCUGGUGCCAUCACUGACCUCUGCCUCACAACUCCCUCUACAAGGUCUGUUCAGCAAUGAUAGCUGUGGUUCCUACAGAAGUGAGGUACCAGUGUGGAGGACAGGACCCCAAAACAGGACUUCAAUUUAGAGUAGGGUGAGUUGCAAUGUGUGAAUAAAAUAUUGAUGUGGCCAGCCAGGCA